Microtus ochrogaster (prairie vole) is the source of this 106-nucleotide small nuclear RNA. The record is from Ensembl. NCBI's taxonomy places the organism in Eukaryota, Metazoa, Chordata, Mammalia, Rodentia, Cricetidae.
GUGCUCACUUCGGCGGCACAUACACUAAAAUUGGAGCAAUACAGAGAAGAUUGGUGUGGCCCUGUGCAAGAAUGACAUGCAGAUUCGUGAAGCGUUCCAUAAAAGA